Molecule: ribosomal RNA, 253 nt
Filed under: uncultured bacterium
Lineage: Bacteria
Description: partial 16S ribosomal RNA
Rfam family: Bacterial small subunit ribosomal RNA
Source: RNAcentral
GACGAAGGUGGCGAGCGUUGUUCGGAAUCACUGGGCAUAAAGCGCACGUAGGCGGCAUUGCAAGUCGGAUGUGAAAUCCCUCGGCUUAACCAAGGAAGUGCAUCCGAAACUGCAGUGCUUGAGUACUUAAGAGGAUCGCGGAAUUCCCGGUGUAGAGGUGAAAUUCGUAGAUAUCGGGAGGAACACCAGUGGCGAAGGCGGCGAUCUGGGAAGAUACUGACGCUGAGGUGCGAAAGCGUGGGGAGCAAACAGG